Long non-coding RNA from Lytechinus variegatus (green sea urchin), 267 nucleotides. RefSeq lists it as uncharacterized. NCBI's taxonomy places the organism in Eukaryota, Metazoa, Echinodermata, Echinoidea, Temnopleuroida, Toxopneustidae. The record is from RefSeq and is a predicted model, not a curated record. The transcript is spliced from 4 exons.
CUUUUUUUUUCUGACAGACUGUAGUGAAUGCCACCAUUGCAAAUGCAGAAUCUGCCCAAGAUUUCAUUGAUAACAACGUGGAGAGUGAAGUCCAAUCGUCUAUAGUCUCAUACAGUGACAGAGUACUGGGUUAUCCAGAGCAAUUUGUGACAUAUGUUACUUACCAGCUGGAGAACACAAUUGGAGGCUGUCGUCCAGUUUAUAACCUGUGGAAUCAAGCAGUGAAUACUCUCUGCAUCGGAAUACUUCGAUCAUUUAACGGCCUGU